AUCCUAUCAAAGCUACAAUACUGCAGCUUAUGACAAAAUUUGGCCUAACAUAGUAGGAAAAACUCUUUGUCAAACAGAUCCCUCAAAAAGACUAACUGUAAUCACAAACUAUUUUCUUAACCAUCUGCAUGUUUGUCUCCCUAUGCAUGUUUGCAGAAACAGAACCUCGACCGAGCCUUUCCAAGGCCCACUGAAGUCCAUGAGAGACUUCUCAUAGACUGUGGCAGGAGAGGAAAAAUCUUCAUGGAGAACCUCCCACACAACUCUGGACAAGACAGAUCUUGGUGCCUUAGAUCCUUAUUUGUAGACCAGGAAUUAUCAUGUUAUUUCUUCCCUCUACCUCUUUUCUCUAUAUAUACUGUCAGGAAGGGAAAGAAAUACAUGUUUUGCACUUCAGUGGUCAUAAUCUUGCAUGGGGAACACUACACCUGUGACUGAUGAAGCUAAAUAAUCAGAACAAUAAAAAAGAUUUUGAGA
This is a long non-coding RNA of Dromaius novaehollandiae (emu), 477 nucleotides long. RefSeq lists it as uncharacterized. The transcript has 2 exons. The record is from RefSeq and is a predicted model, not a curated record. NCBI's taxonomy places the organism in Eukaryota, Metazoa, Chordata, Aves, Casuariiformes, Dromaiidae.